GUCUUGGGAAACAGGUGAGCCUUCUCAGAGCAGCUGAGCUUGGUUGAGAGCUUGCUUCUUUCUGUUUCAGCUUAAAACCAUUCCUUAGGUUUGGGACCUCCUGGCCCUUCCUGGGAUGAUGUCUUUGGGGGCUAAGCACUGCAAGGCAGAGCACAGCUGCCUGUUGGUGUGAUAGCUUUCAGGUGAAAAACCCUUCCCUUCAUAUGGGGCCUUAUGCGGCUCAGUUGCCCUAUUGAAAAGGGGGAGUGCUGGUGCUACAGCACCUGGCAGUGAUGUGGGGGGCUGGAGAAGGGGCAGAGUGAGGGGAAAAGGGCCAUGAAAAGCAAGAGCCCUUGGCUGGCUUCUCCUUGGGGUGGUGCUGUGGGUGGCAGGGGAGCCACCCCUGGCUAGAGCUAGGCUAGAGCCUGCUCCAUCUGGGCAAUGCAAGAUAUUGCAGAAUUCUUCGUUAUAGUGUGUAUCAACAGUGAAGAUAAGCAGUUACCUCUUGAGACUGACGGUUACCUCACAGUGACUGGGCAAUGGAUUUAUUCUCAGUUCUGAAUUUGGAAAGAUCCUGUGUAAUAGUUCUGCUUCUCUGUGACACUUCAUAAAGCUAUGCAUGAGAUAUGCCCGUGCUGAUUCACGUGAUUCGUAGUUGGCAUCUAUCAACAAAGAAUCACUUGUUGCGACUUCAUCUGGAGGAAACCCAGAGCAGUCAAAAGGAAAUGUUUCUCAGAGUGCAGCUCUUCGUCUUGUGAAAAUAUACAUUCUGGAUCAGACUUGUGGCCUCUCCUGACAUUUCAUCCCUCACAGUGACAAACACCUAGGAAGGAGAAUAAAAGAAAAAAUCUUCGGUAACA
Molecule: long non-coding RNA, 839 nt
Filed under: Anser brachyrhynchus (Pink-footed goose)
Lineage: Eukaryota; Metazoa; Chordata; Aves; Anseriformes; Anatidae
Description: lncRNA (ENSABRG00000004559.1)
Source: RNAcentral